CUGAUUUUAGCGAACCGAGCAUUAGCGAGGUUUUGCGACCACUUGUAUUUAAAACCCAACUCAUAUAAAAUAUGUAUAUUUUUGAAAAAUAAAUUAAAGA
RNAcentral lists this unclassified non-coding RNA (100 nucleotides) under uncultured Glomeromycotina. RNAcentral describes it as "sequence contains ITS1". Lineage: Eukaryota; Fungi; Glomeromycota. The record is from RNAcentral.